AUGAACGCUGGCGGCGUGCCUAAUACCUGCAAGUCGAGCGCACGGACGAGAAGCUUGCUUCUCUGAUGUUAGCGGCGGACGGGUGAGUAACACGUGGAUAACCUACCUAUAAGACUGGGAUAACUUCGGGAAACCGGAGCUAAUACCGGAUAAUAUUUUGAACCGCAUGGUUCAAAAGUGAAAGACGGUCUUGCUGUCACUUAUAGAUGGAUCCGCGCUGCAUUAGCUAGUUGGUAAGGUAACGGCUUACCAAGGCAACGAUGCAUAGCCGACCUGAGAGGGUGAUCGGCCACACUGGAACUGAGACACGGUCCAGACUCCUACGGGAGGCAGCAGUAGGGAAUCUUCCGCAAUGGGCGAAAGCCUGACGGAGCAACGCCGCGUGAGUGAUGAAGGUCUUCGGGUCGUAAAACUCUGUUAUUAGGGAAGAACAUAUGUGUAAGUAACUGUGCACAUCUUGACGGUACCUAAUCAGAAAGCCACGGCUAACUACGUG
This 496-nucleotide ribosomal RNA is filed under the name uncultured bacterium. RNAcentral's name for it is "partial 16S ribosomal RNA". It matches the Rfam family "Bacterial small subunit ribosomal RNA", at positions 29 to 507 of the family's 1533-position model. The record is from RNAcentral.